GGUGAUCGGGAUAACAGUGGGAAACCGCUGCUAAUACCGGAUACGAUCCGCUUAACCGUGGAUGAAAGGGGGCCUCUGCUUGCAAGCUCUCGCACCCAAAUGAGCCCGCGUCCCAUUAGCUAGUUGGCGGGGUAAUGGCCCACCAAGGCAACGAUGGGUAGCUGGUCUGAGAGGAUGAUCAGCCACACUGGGACUGGAACACGGCCCAGACUCCUACGGGAGGCAGCAGUGGGGAAUAUUGCGCAAUGGGCGAAAGCCUGACGCAGCGACGCCGCGUGAGGGAUGAAGGCCUUCGGGUCGUAAACCUCUGUCUGGGGGGAAGAAGUGCACAUGGGUCAAUACCCCGUGUGUUUGACGGUACCCCCGAAGGAAGCACCGGCUAACUCCGUGCCAGCAGCCGCGGUAA
RNAcentral lists this ribosomal RNA (406 nucleotides) under uncultured delta proteobacterium. RNAcentral's name for it is "bacterial SSU rRNA". It matches the Rfam family "Bacterial small subunit ribosomal RNA", at positions 133 to 523 of the family's 1533-position model. The record is from RNAcentral. Lineage: Bacteria; Deltaproteobacteria.